This 253-nucleotide ribosomal RNA is filed under the name uncultured bacterium. RNAcentral describes it as "partial 16S ribosomal RNA". It matches the Rfam family "Bacterial small subunit ribosomal RNA", at positions 524 to 776 of the family's 1533-position model. The record is from RNAcentral.
UACGUAGGGUGCAAGCGUUGUCCGGAAUUAUUGGGCGUAAAGAGUUCGUAGGCGGUUUGUCGCGUUGUUCGUGAAAACCGGGGGCUUAACCCUCGGCGUGCGGGCGAUACGGGCAGACUUGAGUACUGCAGGGGAGACUGGAAUUCCUGGUGUAGCGGUGGAAUGCGCAGAUAUCAGGAGGAACACCGGUGGCGAAGGCGGGUCUCUGGGCAGUAACUGACGCUGAGGAGCGAAAGCGUGGGGAGCGAACAGG